Long non-coding RNA from Lolium perenne, 554 nucleotides. RefSeq lists it as uncharacterized. The record is from RefSeq and is a predicted model, not a curated record. NCBI's taxonomy places the organism in Eukaryota, Viridiplantae, Streptophyta, Magnoliopsida, Poales, Poaceae.
GCAGAUUGAAAUCUCGCCUGGUUGGCAUUCAGUACCCUGCAGUCGGUGACCCCCUGCCUGGCGUCACUCACACCGUUGCCACCACUGAACUAAACCAGUCAGCCUCAUCUGAGAUAACCGGCGCUCCAUGUACAAAGCUUUAAUAAAGACUUAUUUUGUAGUCGCUCACAGAAGAACCUUCAGAGAAGGGACAAAAUAAGAAAUCCACUGUAGCAGUUCUGCAAACACCCAAUUUUACCUUUACCCAUAGCUGUAAGAUCUCUAUUGUUCUAAUUAGUGUUCAAAUUUAAGACUACUUCUUUACAACUCUGGUGCAGAAAGAAGUGUCAAAUUUCCAGAACAUGAAGAAUUUUAACGUCUGGUUGUGAAACGGCAUAAGUAAAAGGCAUGGCCACCAACUCAGGGAACAACCUAAGAACUGCACUGGCUUCUACCUAAGAUUAGCUAUAUUAUUUUGCUUAAACCAAGAAUUACUGAUCUCAGAAUUGAUCCCAUUUCAAUUGUAAUCUAGAACUCUCAUUAGCGGAAUCUCAUGACGAUCCAAUGCAUGUAUA